Molecule: ribosomal RNA, 2902 nt
Filed under: Klebsiella pneumoniae
Lineage: Bacteria; Pseudomonadati; Pseudomonadota; Gammaproteobacteria; Enterobacterales; Enterobacteriaceae
Description: 23S ribosomal RNA
Rfam family: Bacterial large subunit ribosomal RNA
Source: RNAcentral
GGUUAAGCGACUAAGCGUACACGGUGGAUGCCCUGGCAGUCAGAGGCGAUGAAGGACGUGCUAAUCUGCGAAAAGCGUCGGUAAGGUGAUAUGAACCGUUAUAACCGGCGAUGUCCGAAUGGGGAAACCCAGUGUGAUUCGUCACACUAUCGUUAACUGAAUACAUAGGUUAACGAGGCGAACCGGGGGAACUGAAACAUCUAAGUACCCCGAGGAAAAGAAAUCAACCGAGAUUCCCCCAGUAGCGGCGAGCGAACGGGGAGCAGCCCAGAGUCUGAAUCAGCUUGUGUGUUAGUGGAACGGUCUGGAAAGUCCGACGGUACAGGGUGAUAGUCCCGUACACCAAAAUGCACAGGCUGUGAACUCGAAGAGUAGGGCGGGACACGUGGUAUCCUGUCUGAAUAUGGGGGGACCAUCCUCCAAGGCUAAAUACUCCUGACUGACCGAUAGUGAACCAGUACCGUGAGGGAAAGGCGAAAAGAACCCCGGCGAGGGGAGUGAAAAAGAACCUGAAACCGUGUACGUACAAGCAGUGGGAGCACCUUCGGGUGUGACUGCGUACCUUUUGUAUAAUGGGUCAGCGACUUAUAUUCUGUAGCAAGGUUAACCGUAUAGGGGAGCCGCAGGGAAACCGAGUCUUAACUGGGCGUUAAGUUGCAGGGUAUAGACCCGAAACCCGGUGAUCUAGCCAUGGGCAGGUUGAAGGUUGGGUAACACUAACUGGAGGACCGAACCGACUAAUGUUGAAAAAUUAGCGGAUGACUUGUGGCUGGGGGUGAAAGGCCAAUCAAACCGGGAGAUAGCUGGUUCUCCCCGAAAGCUAUUUAGGUAGCGCCUCGUGAACUCAUCUUCGGGGGUAGAGCACUGUUUCGGCUAGGGGGUCAUCCCGACUUACCAACCCGAUGCAAACUACGAAUACCGAAGAAUGUUAUCACGGGAGACACACGGCGGGUGCUAACGUCCGUCGUGAAGAGGGAAACAACCCAGACCGCCAGCUAAGGUCCCAAAGUCAUGGUUAAGUGGGAAACGAUGUGGGAAGGCACAGACAGCCAGGAUGUUGGCUUAGAAGCAGCCAUCAUUUAAAGAAAGCGUAAUAGCUCACUGGUCGAGUCGGCCUGCGCGGAAGAUGUAACGGGGCUAAACCAUGCACCGAAGCUGCGGCAGCGACACUAUGUGUUGUUGGGUAGGGGAGCGUUCUGUAAGCCUGCGAAGGUGACCUGUGAGGGUUGCUGGAGGUAUCAGAAGUGCGAAUGCUGACAUAAGUAACGAUAAAGCGGGUGAAAAGCCCGCUCGCCGGAAGACCAAGGGUUCCUGUCCAACGUUAAUCGGGGCAGGGUGAGUCGACCCCUAAGGCGAGGCCGAAAGGCGUAGUCGAUGGGAAACAGGUUAAUAUUCCUGUACUUGGUGUUACUGCGAAGGGGGGACGGAGAAGGCUAUGUUAGCCGGGCGACGGUUGUCCCGGUUUAAGCAUGUAGGCUGAUUGUCCAGGCAAAUCCGGAUAAUCAAGGCUGAGGUGUGAUGACGAGGCACUACGGUGCUGAAGUAACAAAUGCCCUGCUUCCAGGAAAAGCCUCUAAGCAUCAGGUAACAUUAAAUCGUACCCCAAACCGACACAGGUGGUCAGGUAGAGAAUACCAAGGCGCUUGAGAGAACUCGGGUGAAGGAACUAGGCAAAAUGGUGCCGUAACUUCGGGAGAAGGCACGCUGGUGUGUAGGUGAAGUCCCUGCGGAUGGAGCUGAGACCAGUCGAAGAUACCAGCUGGCUGCAACUGUUUAUUAAAAACACAGCACUGUGCAAACACGAAAGUGGACGUAUACGGUGUGACGCCUGCCCGGUGCCGGAAGGUUAAUUGAUGGGGUUAUCCGUAAGGAGAAGCUCUUGAUCGAAGCCCCGGUAAACGGCGGCCGUAACUAUAACGGUCCUAAGGUAGCGAAAUUCCUUGUCGGGUAAGUUCCGACCUGCACGAAUGGCGUAAUGAUGGCCAGGCUGUCUCCACCCGAGACUCAGUGAAAUUGAACUCGCUGUGAAGAUGCAGUGUACCCGCGGCAAGACGGAAAGACCCCGUGAACCUUUACUAUAGCUUGACACUGAACAUUGAGCCUUGAUGUGUAGGAUAGGUGGGAGGCUUUGAAGCGUGGACGCCAGUCUGCGUGGAGCCAACCUUGAAAUACCACCCUUUAAUGUUUGAUGUUCUAACGUUGGCCCCUUACCGGGGUUGCGGACAGUGUCUGGUGGGUAGUUUGACUGGGGCGGUCUCCUCCCAAAGCGUAACGGAGGAGCACGAAGGUUAGCUAAUCCUGGUCGGACAUCAGGAGGUUAGUGCAAUGGCAUAAGCUAGCUUGACUGCGAGCGUGACGGCGCGAGCAGGUGCGAAAGCAGGUCAUAGUGAUCCGGUGGUUCUGAAUGGAAGGGCCAUCGCUCAACGGAUAAAAGGUACUCCGGGGAUAACAGGCUGAUACCGCCCAAGAGUUCAUAUCGACGGCGGUGUUUGGCACCUCGAUGUCGGCUCAUCACAUCCUGGGGCUGAAGUAGGUCCCAAGGGUAUGGCUGUUCGCCAUUUAAAGUGGUACGCGAGCUGGGUUUAGAACGUCGUGAGACAGUUCGGUCCCUAUCUGCCGUGGGCGCUGGAGAAUUGAGGGGGGCUGCUCCUAGUACGAGAGGACCGGAGUGGACGCAUCACUGGUGUUCGGGUUGUCAUGCCAAUGGCACUGCCCGGUAGCUAAAUGCGGAAGAGAUAAGUGCUGAAAGCAUCUAAGCACGAAACUUGCCCCGAGAUGAGUUCUCCCUGAGACUUUAAGUCUCCUGAAGGAACGUUGAAGACGACGACGUUGAUAGGCCGGGUGUGUAAGCGCAGCGAUGCGUUGAGCUAACCGGUACUAAUGAACCGUGAGGCUUAACCUU